GCCUUAUUUGAAGGAGGUUCAGCUCAAGCAGAUUGAUGGAAAAAUUGGUAUGUUAAUAGGGACGAAUGUACCAAAGGCGCUUGAGCCCUGGAAGGUUAUCAACAGUGAGGGCAACGGCCCAUAUGCUGUAAAAACUACACUAGGCUGGACGAUUAAUGGACCUCUGCUAAGAGAAGAGGGUAUUGCUCAAGGAGCUGUUGAGUGGCCACCGGUGAUGGUGAACAGGAUAUCGGUGACAAAGCUAGAGGAGCUCUCGCAGCAGCAAAUGAAAUAUGACUUCCCUGAGCAUGAGUUGUCAGAGAAAAUGGAAAUGUCAGCCAGAGACAGACAAUUUAUGGAGUCUGUGUCACUGUCAGUGAAGCAGGUUCACGGUCACUACACCAUUGGCCUUCCUUUAAAGAGCAAGGGGGCUGCAUUUCCAAACAACCGUGUUGUGGCGGUACAAAGAGCAGAAGGCCUGAAACGGAGGCUAUUAAGAGACAGUGAGUUUCAUCAAGAGUACACAAAGUUCAUGACAGAGACACUGGAAAGGGGCUAUGCCGAAGAAGUUCCCGUGGCAGAAACUUCUAAAAGUGGUAGCAGAAUAUGGUAUCUCCCACAUCAUGGGGUCUACCACCCAACCAAGCACAAGUUGAGAGUGGUAUUUGACUGUGCAUCCACGUAUCAAGGCAUGUCACUGAACUCACAGCUGUUGCAGGGGCCAGACUUAACCAAUUCCCUCAUAGGUGUUUUGAUGAGGUUCAGGCAGGAGCCAGUUGCCUUCAUGUCUGAUAUUGAAGGCAUGUUUCAUCAAGUCAGGGUUCCCGCUGAAGAUGCCGAUUUGUUGAGAUUCUUGUGGUGGCCAUAGGGAGAUCUUGGUAAAGGCCUCAAGGAAUACAGAAUGGUAGUUCACUUGUUCGGUGCAACUUCUUCACCAAGCUGUGCAUGCUACGCGCUGCAAAGGUGCGCUGAGGACAAUCAGGUGAGGUUCAACCAUAUUGCAGCGAACACUGUUCUAAGGAACUUUUAUGUGGAUGAUUGCCUGAAAUCUGUUGGCACUGAAGAGCAGGCGAUCUCACUGAUUCGGGACCUUAGGGCUUUGUGCGCUGCAGGAGGUUUCAAGCUCACUAAGUGGA
Molecule: long non-coding RNA, 1115 nt
Filed under: Oreochromis niloticus (Nile tilapia)
Lineage: Eukaryota; Metazoa; Chordata; Actinopteri; Cichliformes; Cichlidae
Description: lncRNA (ENSONIG00000030079.1)
Source: RNAcentral